UGUCCCUUUCCACCCGAAUCUCUGUCUGUCCUUCACUCUCAUGCAGUAAAACCCAAAGACGGCGGCACUUCAACUAGCGCUGAGGAGCCUGCUGCGCCCACGGGAUGCCGGGUCCACCCAGAGAGCAGCACAAACAAGGUUUCAUCUGUUGCAGAUUGGAAACGGCUUUAAAGCCAGAUACUGACCGGGUGAACUGGUCGGUAUUCUCCCAGCACACCGCCUCUUCCACCUCAGUCCUCCUUCGCUGCUGAUAAAAGAGGCGCUCAGCGAACGGGCCGCUUUUAGCGGCGGCCAUUCAGAAGACGAGGAGGCGCAGGAAGAGCCCUGACUACGGCCCGCUGACUCAUGGGCAGCGGGUUUAUCGAUCCAAGCAGAUGGCCGACGCGGUGUCUUCCCGGGCUUUCAUUUGGUUUUGCAUUUCCUGGAAUCUGAAUCACCGUGCCUGUCUUCAGGCCUCCGCUCUCUCUCUCUCUCUGUUUCCAUGGUUGCAGAGUCUCAGCAGAUUCUGAGGGUAUGGCGCCGGUAUGAGGCAGAGGUCCACGGGGGCCUUGUGGUUGACUCCGCUGCCUGCUACGUUUCCCAGCUCUCCAAGAGUCAUAUUUUUCUCCCCAUAAUGGAUGGUGUGCCUUCACACAGUUGUAGCCGUGGUGUCUCCGUAGAGACACUGAGGAGGUGGGGAGGGAGGCAACGGGAUGGUUAAAAAGGAAAUCAGCAUGCUUUUGGAACUACCGAGAUGUAGAGAACUAAAGUGAGUGGACACUAUGCGAGUCCACCCCGACUCUUUCCACAUGUGGGGGAGUGACAUCAGGGAAAUCAUCAUUCUGAUCUCAAUAAUUGGUUAUUUCACAUUUUAACCAAUCAAACCAGUCCUAACACAAAUAUAUAAUUUUAAUCAUCAUCAUCCUAAGUGUCACACCCCAAUAAAUAAAUGAUAACAUACAGGUUUUCCGUAUGUCAAGUAUGUCUUAUCUGCUAUAUGACUUAUAUAUAACUGUUAAACGUAUGCAGAAAGUUACUAGUAUACACACUCAUUCAUACGCACUCACACUCUGCUUAACCCUUUAAAGUGUGAAAAUCACAAAUCUGUGAUUAGAAUGUUCUUAACUGGACAUUCUAAUGCUGAUG
Molecule: long non-coding RNA, 1125 nt
Organism: Conger conger (European conger)
Lineage: Eukaryota; Metazoa; Chordata; Actinopteri; Anguilliformes; Congridae
Exons: 3
Source: RefSeq, a predicted model, not a curated record